Molecule: ribosomal RNA, 458 nt
Filed under: uncultured bacterium
Lineage: Bacteria
Description: partial 16S ribosomal RNA
Rfam family: Bacterial small subunit ribosomal RNA
Source: RNAcentral
CCUACGGGUGGCAGCAGUGGGGAAUAUUGCACAAUGGGGGAAACCCUGAUGCAGCGACGCCGCGUGAGUGAAGAAGUAAUUCGUUACGUAAAGCUCUAUCAGCAGGGAAGAAACACUGACCUUACGGUCAGCAGACGGUACCUGAGUAAGAAGCCCCGGCUAACUACGUGCCAGCAGCCGCGGUAAUACGUAGGGGGCAAGCGUUAUCCGGAUUUACUGGGUGUAAAGGGAGCGUAGACGGUGCGCUAAGGCUGGAGUGAAAUGCCGCGGGUGAACUGCGGAACUGUUUUGGAAACUGGCGAACGAGAGUGCGGGAGGGGUAAGCGGAAUGCCUAGUGUAGCGGUGAAAUGCGUAGAUAGUAGGAGGAACACCGGUGGCGAAGGCGGCUUACUGGACCGUAACUGACGUUGAGGCUCGAAAGCGUGGGGAGCAAACAGGAUUAGAUACCCUAGUAGUC